GCCUUUGUCCGGAACAGUGAUCGAUUUGAAGUCGUCAAUAAUCGGAAAUUAGGAUCCGUCAAUAAAUUUACCUAAAUAUUGUCGUUCAAUGUGCAGCGAUGACUUCGGAAAAUGUAAAAGUCAUUGCGAGAUGUCGGCCGAUGAACGCGAGGGAACGGGCAUUAAACAGUAAGAACGUGGUGUUUAUAGACUCGGAAAAAUGCACUUGUUCGAUCGUCAAUCCCACGGAUGGUUCGGCGCCGCCGAAAACGUUUACGUUCGACGGCGUGUACGGGCCCGAUUCAAACACGGAGCAGAUAUACAACGACAUCGCUUAUCCUUUUGUGGAAGGUAUAUUAGAGGGUUACAACUGCACGGUGUUUGCGUACGGGCAGACUGGAUGUGGUAAGAGUUUCUCGAUGCAGGGUGUAGACUCACCGCCGCAUCAACGCGGUAUCAUACCCAGAGCCUUCGAACACGUCUUCGAGGCAAUAUCUGUCACGGACGACGUUAAGUUCUUGGUGCUCGCCUCGUAUAUUGAGAUCUAUAACGAGGAAGUGAGAGACCUGUUGAGUACGGACACCAAACGGAGACUUGAAUUGAAGGAGAAUCCAGAGAGGGGAGUCUACGUACACGAGUUGUCACAUCAUGCCGUGCAUGACGUGAUCGAAUGUCAAAAGCUCAUGGAACAGGGUUGGAGGAAUAGAGCUACCGGGGCCACAAUGAUGAACGCCGACUCUUCCAGGAGCCAUUCGAUUUUCACCAUAUCCGUAGAAAUGAUGUCAACGUCGCAAGAUGUCGAUGAAAUUAAGUCGAUAAAACGAGGUAAGCUGAGUCUGGUGGACUUGGCGGGCAGCGAACGUCAGGCGAAAACCGGAGCCUCGGGUGAUAGGCUUAGAGAAGCCACAAAAAUUAAUCUUUCUUUGUCGGCCUUGGGCAACGUGAUAUCAGCCCUGGUUGACGGAAAAGCAAAACACAUACCGUACAGAGAUUCAAAACUCACCCGAUUGCUACAAGAUUCUCUUGGUGGAAAUACUAAAACGCUGAUGGUCGCUUGUCUUUCGCCUGCAGACAAUAACUAUGACGAGACCUUGUCGACAUUGAGGUAUGCUAAUCGCGCCAAGAACAUAUACAACGAACCACAUGUAAACGAAGAUCCCAAAGACACGAUGCUGCGCCAGUAUCAAGAACAGAUAAAGAAACUAAAAGAACUGUUGGAAGCUUCCACUGCUCAGUUUCCCUCGAGUAACGGCCAGAACGAUAUUUCCGAAAAAGAAAAAUUGCGACUGGAGUAUCAAGAUGAAAUGAUCAAACUAAGGGAAAAAUAUCAAGAAGAAUACAAUUCUAAGUGUCAGAUGCAAGCAGAUUUGAAAACGUUAAAAGAGAAGUACGACAAAAACUUGGCAAAAAUCUCGAACCAAAACGAAAAUAAUUGUAGGACUUCAUCCCCGCAGCAGAUAGUGGAAAAAGCAUUGAAGAACAAUCGAGUAGAAUUAAACUCAUCACAACAGGAAAUAUUGAAAAGGUUGAAGAAAUUGCAAGAGAGUAUGGUUGGCGGUGAGCGAGUCAACGACAAAGAGCUUCAGGAACGUCGAUUGCGCAAGAAAAAAGCAGCCGAGAGACGGUUGAACGCAUUAGCGAGGGCGCUAGCCACUGUCGAGACCGAAGACGGACCGAACUUGGUGUUGGGCGUGUACGACGAUAUACAGGAAGAGCUGAGGGCCAAGAACGAGGCGUUGAAGAAGUAUAGACAAAAACUGAAAGCGUCGGACAGAGAGGUGGCGGAUAUCCAGAGCGAAUUUGAAAACGAGCGGACGGAUUAUUUAGAAACAAUUAGAAAACAAGAGCGACAGAUCAAACUGCAGAGUCAAAUCUUAGAAAAAAUCGUGCCAACGCUAUCGAAAGAAUGCAAUUAUAGCAACUUGGAGAGGUUGAAAGAAGAUGCGGAAUGGGAGGACGACACGCAAAGUUGGAUACUGCCGGAGCUGACGAGGAUAAAACUACCUCCGGCUUCGGAAGUAUCAGAAAUCGACAGAAGACGAUUUUGCCGGCAAUUACUUUAAACCAAAACGAGCUACUGAGUUGCUGAUACAAUCCCACGGAGAGUCUGGUCGACCGUUUCAUAAAUGGAAAGGACACAGACGAAUAUCACCAGAAAAUAUAGUUAAAAAGCCGACGAAAUUAGAAUCUCUCCUUCCGGUUAUUGGUGACCGAAAAUUACAAAAGAAUACCUUGGACAGAAUUUAAAAAAAUAUGUUCCUACAUUUAAU
Molecule: unclassified non-coding RNA, 2249 nt
Filed under: Rhopalosiphum maidis (corn leaf aphid)
Lineage: Eukaryota; Metazoa; Arthropoda; Insecta; Hemiptera; Aphididae
Description: osmotic avoidance abnormal protein 3, transcript variant X3
Source: RNAcentral